RNAcentral lists this unclassified non-coding RNA (211 nucleotides) under plant metagenome. RNAcentral's name for it is "partial contains small subunit ribosomal RNA, internal transcribed spacer 1, and 5.8S ribosomal RNA". The record is from RNAcentral.
UUUCCGUAGAUGAACCUGCGGAAGGAUCAUUCAUAAUAAAGUGUUUUAUGGCACUUUUUAAAAAUCCAUAUCCACCUUGUGUGCAAUGUUAGAUCUCGUCAAUCUUGGCGAGGUUUUUAUACAUCAACUCAUCCUUUAACUAAUUUGUCUGAAAAAUAUUAUGAAUACUUAAUUCAAAAUACAACUUUCAACAACGGAUCUCUUGGCUCUC